CUUUUAUACAACUGGCAGCACAGUAGGUUUACACUAGCAUCACCAUAAACAUUUGAGUAAUCAUUAUACUAUGACGUUAUCACUAGGUGAGAGGAAUUUUUCAGCUCCAUAAUAUGCAAGAAUCAUUGUUGUAUAUGUGGUCUGUCUGUCAUUGAUUGAAAUGUCAUUAUAUGGCGCAUGACUCUGGCUGUUAAAAAUGAGACAGAGGCUGGGCCCAGUGGCUCACACCUGUAAUUCCAGCACUUUGAGGGGCUCAGUUGGGCAGAUGGCUUGAGCCCAGGAGUUCCAGAUCAACCAGGCAUGAUGGCAUGUGCCUGUAAGUCCCAGCUACUUGGGAGGCUGAGGAAGGAAGAUCGCAUGAGCCUGGGAGAUCAAGGUGGCAGUAAACCGUGAUGAUGCCACUGCACUCCAGCCUGGUCAACAGAGUGAAACCCUGUCUCAAGAAAAACCAACCAACCAACCAAACAAAAAAACCCCAGAAGACAGAUAUGUAGACAUAGGUAUGAAAAGAUUCUCAUGUUUUAUUAUUGAGUAAAAAAAACCCCAAGAUGCUGAAAAAUAAAUACGAUCCCAUUUUUGUUCAACAUUUUGCAUAUGUAGUUGUCAAUGCAUAGAAAAGAAUACAAAGAAAGCUGUCAGCAGUGGCUACUUUGGAGACUUGCAAUGGGCAUAGUAGGGAGGGGUAUACUUUUUAUAGGGUUCAUUUUCACACAAUAUUUUAUUUCCUAAUUAAGUAACAGACAUUCAGCUUUGGAAAAGGCAAUAGUAAAUGUUGUAUGAAAAUGUAAGAACAGAAUUGAUGGCUAUAGAAAAACUACUUUAUAUCUCAGUUUAAAUACUUUGGAUAUUGUUAAUGUUUCUAGGUCUAUGAAUUCUGGAUAGUAGAAAAAUAGCGUGAAACACCUUUUUCAAACUGGAAUGGCUAAGAAAGCCUAAGGGAAUGCUCUAAAAUAAACAGAAUAAUGAAAUAAAUGUUGGUAACUACAUCUCAACUCCUAUGUGGUAUUUCUAGAGCACUAUAGGGGAUUUCCUUUCAUAUUAUUCAGUCAGAGAUGUGUCAUUUUAUCAAUUCUAUUACAUUUUCUGUUUUAACUGUCAUGCCUUUGAACCUUUCCUGCUCUGAUUUCUGCUUUGCAUGGAAAUCUGUUAUCUUUCUAGUUGACUUUGGUGGAUAUCAAUCCUCUUGAGUCUCUCUAAGCCUUCAGACUAAAGUUUUUAAAGUUGUCUUUUGGCUGGGCGCAGUGGCUCACAUCUAUAAUCCCAACACUUUGGGAGGCCAGCACAGGUGGAUCACUUGAGCUCAGGAGUUUGAGACUACCCUGGGGAACAUGGCAAAACCUUGUCUCUACAAAACACACACAAAAAAAUUAGUCGGUUGUGCUGGCGGAUGCCUGUAGUCCCAUCUACUCGGGAGGCUGAGGUGGGAGGAUUGCUUGAACCCAGGAGGCAGAGGUUGCAGUAAGCCAAAAUUGCACCACUGCACUCCAGCCUGGGUGACAGAGCAAGGCUCCAUCUAAAAAAAAAAAAAAAAAAAAAAAAAAAGUUGCUGUUUCCUUCUUGCAUCAUCUACAUUUUCUCUGGAAUCAAUAAUUCAUUUUUCUAUUUUCAUUUUCAUUUUACUGAUCUUCCUCAUAUAUCUGGUGAUCUUUACGUGUAUGUUCAUGUUUAUAAAUGAAGGACUAAGUUGUUCAUGACAGGUGAUCAUCAUGGAUUUCUUGUACCUCUGUUGUAGUCGUGUCGUUUCUCCAGCAGGAUACCCCUCGGUGAACUGGCUUACUACCACCUUUGAUUAAGUGGAAAUGGCAUGCUGACAUACUUAAGGUCCAUGACAAGCAGCCAUAAAGGAGUCUUUGCCACAGCGCUGUAAGGCACUUGUAUAUGUGAGAAGCCCUUAGUAUAUUUAUAGAGGAUCUCCUACUAGAUUUAAAAAACAGUUAUUGUAGUCUUAAUACAGCUACAAACCUUGUACUGAGAUGUCUGUAUAGGAAGAAGGGGUUGCCUUUAGUCAUCAUGUCUUUUUAGUCUCUACCAAUCAAUGACAGUUUCUCAAUCUCUCCUUGUUUUCUCAUGACCUUGACACUCCUGAAGAAUACUGAUCAGUUAAUUUGUAGAAUGUCCCUCAAUUUGGUUUUGUCUGAAAUUCGCUCAUGUUUAGACUGAGAUUAUUCAUUUUUGCCAAGGUGAAAGGUUAAAAGGCAUAACAGCUAAUUUGUAGAAUGUCCCUCAAUUUGAUUUUGUCUGAAAUUCUCUCAUGUUUGGACUGAAAUUACUCAUUUUUGCCAAGGUGAUGUUAAGCCCAAGUUAUGUACAUAACAUGAUGUUAAGUACAUAACAUCAGGAGAUACCUGAUGUCAAG
Molecule: long non-coding RNA, 2356 nt
Filed under: Homo sapiens (human)
Lineage: Eukaryota; Metazoa; Chordata; Mammalia; Primates; Hominidae
Description: non-protein coding lnc-DHX38-9:1
Source: RNAcentral